CCUACGGGCGACAGCAGUGGGGAAUAUUGCACAAUGGGUGAAACCCUGAUGCAGCGACGCCGCGUGAGUGAAGACGGAUUUCCGUAUGUAAAGCUCUUUCAGCAGGGAAGAUAAUGACGGUACCUGAGUAAGAAUCCCCGUCUAACUACGUUCCGGCAGCCGCGGUACUACGUCGGGUGCAAGCGUUAUCCGGAUUUUCUGGGUGUAAAGGGAGCGUAGACGGCUUGGCAAGUCUGAAGUGAAAGCUCGGGGCUCAACCGCGGAACUGCUUUGGAAACUGUUAAGCGGGAGUGCAGGAGAGGUAAGUGGAAUUCCUAGUGUAGCGGUGAAAUGCGUAGAUAUGAGGAGGAACACCAGUGGCGAAGGCGGCCUACUGGACUGUAACUGACGUUGAGGCUCGAAAGUGUGGGGAGCAAACAGGAUUAGAUACCCUGGUAGUC
Molecule: ribosomal RNA, 440 nt
Filed under: uncultured bacterium
Lineage: Bacteria
Description: partial 16S ribosomal RNA
Rfam family: Bacterial small subunit ribosomal RNA
Source: RNAcentral